Long non-coding RNA from Aegilops tauschii subsp. strangulata, 1048 nucleotides. RefSeq lists it as uncharacterized. The record is from RefSeq and is a predicted model, not a curated record. Lineage: Eukaryota; Viridiplantae; Streptophyta; Magnoliopsida; Poales; Poaceae.
CGGUCCGAUUACGCACCGCAAACAGAUCCCUUCCCCGAGUCCCCGAGCCUCCAACCCUUCCCCUCCGCCGCCUCCAGCCCUCGACUGGCCUUGGCUGAUCUCCUUCUCCGGCCACCCCCGUCGGGGUCGGAGGCGUACGUCGAGGCCGACUUCCCCGGCGUCAAGAAGAAGCCCGCCCGCUCCUUCCCCGACACCUCAAGCUUCAGGGCUGUAGGUCCUUGCGCAAUAUCUCGAGCCUGGACAUCCACAUUGUGCUGGCCUGCGUGGGGUUCAAAGAGGACGUGUGUGUGUGUGUCAGAUCCAGCGCCUCACUGUUCAGUGCCAGAGCCAUCUAGUCGUCCUCGUUCUUGCCGUCGAGAAGCAGCACCGGCCAUGCUACCGGAUUAGGAUCUGAAGUGUACUGUAUUUUCGCUUAUCAACCUCCACUUUAACAUUCUUUUUCCCAACAACGGUUCAUCGGUUGUCCUGCUCAUUCCUCUCCUCCCCCAUCGGUUGCGAUGCUUCAAGAUGUCAAUAGCCAGCUGAACAAUGUGACACAAUAUGUGGGUACAAUGGCAGCAUCAAUGGCACGAGAAGCAGCGCAAGAGGAUCCUCAGCAGAAAUCAAAAGAGAAGGCUAUUAGUGAAUUGGCUAGGCUUAGCUUUACCGGGAACGAGAUCGUUGAGGCUGCAACCGUAUUUGCUAAAGCUCCAGAUCAGAUGAACAUGAUGCUUGCGCUUCCAGAAAAUCUGAGGAGGGAGUAUGUCCUAAAAAUGCUCUCCGAUGAGAAAAAGAAGCACGGUUGAUUAGAAAAGAUCGGUGGAGUGGCUGAUCAGAGGAAUGGUCGAUGGAAAAGCUACUUUGCAAGAUUCUGAAAUAGGCCUUUGGACUUGCCUUACAAAAUAAUUUUGGGGACUAAUUAUGUAGUUUAUCUCGAAUUAUUGAUGAAGUCUGAGGAGGUGUUUGUAUUGAUGAGUUAAUAUGCAUUUUAGAAGUGGUGUCAAAAUCUGGUUAAAGGAUGUCUUGGAUGAAUGCAAAAAUAUUUUUAAAUUAUGUACUUGUUUGAUGA